CUUAUACUCCCUCCAUCCCAAAAUUCUUGUCUUAGAUUUGUCUAGGUAUGAAUGUAUCUAGUCACGUUUUGGUAUUUACAUACAUCCAUUUCUAGAUAAACCUAAGAUAAGAAUUUUGGGACGGAGGUAGUAUAUA
This 136-nucleotide microRNA precursor is filed under the name Hordeum vulgare. Its description in RNAcentral is "microRNA MIR1122". It matches the Rfam family "MIR1120/MIR1122 microRNA precursor family". The record is from RNAcentral. Lineage: Eukaryota; Viridiplantae; Streptophyta; Magnoliopsida; Poales; Poaceae.